Hordeum vulgare subsp. vulgare (domesticated barley) is the source of this 1148-nucleotide long non-coding RNA. RefSeq lists it as uncharacterized. The transcript is spliced from 2 exons. NCBI's taxonomy places the organism in Eukaryota, Viridiplantae, Streptophyta, Magnoliopsida, Poales, Poaceae. The record is from RefSeq and is a predicted model, not a curated record.
AUGCUGCCAAGCUCGUCCGCAGGAAGGCCACCUCCCGCCGCGUGCCCCUCUGCAUCUGGUGCUGGUAGCAGUCCUCCCCCAGCAGCUCGGCCAGCUUGGCGAGCAGGGAGCUCAUCGCCCCCGUCGCGGCGCUCGCCAUGAUCCCGCCACCCCCGUCCAUCCCUUGUCGAUUGCGUGCCUCCCCUCCCCUGUCACGCAGAGCAGCUCGACGAAUGAGAGGGCCGACGAUGAUGGAUGGAGAGGAGCAGACGGGCGGAGGAGACGAGUCGUAGCAAAUCUCUGCCUGGGUCUUGGUCAACAACGAGACGCGGCAAGGCAAGGAAAAGAUUGGUCCUUUGGACUAUGGAUAUGGAAGGUGGAAGAUAGGGACGGGGAUACGCGGCGGUGUGAAGGCGAGGAAAACAGAGCACGCCGCCGCUCGCCGUUGAGGCUCCGGAGGCGCUGAACGCCCCUGCCGUUGGCUGCCUAUGUUCUUUUAUCUUUACCUUUACCUAGGCACUGUAAACUGUCUUGGUGAAUUUGUUCCAAUUUCCUCAAGAUUGAGUAGUCAGGUUCUAGAAAUGUCUCGAGUUGGUUUGGUAGUUUGAUUAUGAAAUUUUUGAUAAUUUGCUACUGGUUCAAAUUUCUUACUGGGCUUGAGAGAUGGGUCGGAAGUUUGUACCACUUUCGAAAGGAAGAAGAAAGAGAGAUCUAGGUUGUGAAGUAUGGACUAGGAGGUGUCCUCAGACUGCACAUAGAGAAUCUACUGUAAACUGUUUUCUCUUUACUUUUUAUGAAAUCUUCUCAUCUUUACUUGCAGAGCAAAAUAUUCACACUAUUAGUUCCAGCUUCAGUUCAUCACUCUAACUCCUGUCUGCUACUUUCUGUCAGUGGAUGAAGGGUGCUUGGGUCAAUCAAGAGCAAAAUCUAUAUGUUCGUUCCUACAAGAGCUCAAUGAUGCUGUGAAAGCCAAGUAUGUUGAGGAGUCUCCAGCAACAAUGAUAGAUACAAACCCUUCAUUCUUUUCCCAGUUCACUGUUAUCAUUGCUACCCACGUGUGUUUUCGUAUACUCUCAAGAUAAGCUGCAAAAUCAGCAAUUAAUAUGCUGGUGCUUUCUCUGUAGAUUUUUUUUGCUGAAUGAAUACUUGUGAUUUUUGUGAAGCCAAAA